CAAGGUAUAGCUCAGUGGUAGAGUACAUGCCUAGCAUGCAUGAGGUCCUGGGUUCAAUCCCAGGUACCUCCA
Molecule: transfer RNA, 72 nt
Filed under: Camelus bactrianus (Bactrian camel)
Lineage: Eukaryota; Metazoa; Chordata; Mammalia; Artiodactyla; Camelidae
Also listed under: 1 other name
Rfam family: tRNA
About the family: Transfer RNA (tRNA) molecules are approximately 80 nucleotides in length. Their secondary structure includes four short double-helical elements and three loops (D, anti-codon, and T loops).
Source: Rfam by way of RNAcentral